GGGGAUCCUCCCCCGCGCGGCUGUUUGAUUUGCCCGGGACGCGAUCGGUCGAUCGAUCGAUCCGCGCAGACGUCCCUCAUACAUCCUGAAAAUUGACUUAAAUUGAAUUCGGGGGAAUUAUAAUGAGGCUGGCCUGUCCCUCGCUUGGCUUCAAGGACUCCAGUCUUAGAACCUCCGGUGCACUAUUUGCCAAUCUAGAGGAGAAUAAUUAAAUGACACCAGAGUUAUAAAUCACCGAUGUGUCAUAAAUACGUUAUGAGCAGUGUAUUUACCGUCUGCUGUUUGUUUGAUAAACCUCAUGAAGCUCAACAAGUCCUCCACACUGAUGAGCUCGCCCUCAAAAGCAGAGACUGCAGAGUGGAAGGGCUCUAAACACUGAUCGUAGCCCCACUGAGGUGUGCAAUUCCUGAGACAAAAGGAGACAAAGGACGUAAUGGAUUUAUGGGUCCACUGCCAGGACUGCAUGAUGCCAGAGGCAACGGGGGCUUCAGCCUCCACAUGGCUGUCUGGCAGCAGAUUCAGCCUGAAGAAAUACAGACGUGACAGCAGGGAACAUAUAAAGUUGAUGCAGUAAGCACAUAAGGCCAUCUGCAAACUAUCGCUAUGAGCACACCAGAAGAGCAUGACCACCCUCACUGACUGG
This is a long non-coding RNA of Gasterosteus aculeatus aculeatus (three-spined stickleback), 643 nucleotides long. The record is from Ensembl. Lineage: Eukaryota; Metazoa; Chordata; Actinopteri; Perciformes; Gasterosteidae.